Molecule: long non-coding RNA, 234 nt
Filed under: Lathyrus oleraceus (garden pea)
Lineage: Eukaryota; Viridiplantae; Streptophyta; Magnoliopsida; Fabales; Fabaceae
Description: Pisum sativum (pea) long non-coding RNA (PSAT_LNC004176)
Source: RNAcentral
ACAUGGAUGAAAAAUAAAAACAAAAUAUUACAACAAGGACAAAAAUUAUAAAAUAAAAAACUUCAUCUUCAUUCAUUAAUUAACCAUUGUAGGGACAAAAGUCAUAAAUUAUCCUUGUUAGAGGGACGAAAACCAAAAAAAUUACAGAAUCAUUAAAAUGACAUUCAAUACCACUGGUAAGCAAUGAACAAACUCCGUGAAACAAUCAACAAAAAAUUAAAUAAGUUAUUUUUU